Eriocheir sinensis (Chinese mitten crab) is the source of this 1210-nucleotide long non-coding RNA. RefSeq lists it as uncharacterized. The transcript is spliced from 6 exons. The record is from RefSeq and is a predicted model, not a curated record. Lineage: Eukaryota; Metazoa; Arthropoda; Malacostraca; Decapoda; Varunidae.
GUGAAAAUGUGGCCGCCUUGCAUCGCCUCCUCCUCCUUCCUCCCGCCAUCUUCAUCUGUCAGCUGAUCCGAGGUGGACGGCGUUCCGCGUGUCGGCCAAUUUCCUUGUAAUCCAGGACGACACAGACGGCCAUGGAUGGAAGCAAGAUGCUGGACUUUGUGGACCCUGGCGGCCAUGGGGAGGUGUCCAUGGGCGCUGGGCAAGGCCGAGGGCGAGGAGUACAGCACACUGGAUGAGGGGGACCAUGGAUGGUGCAGGGCUCUCAGGAGAUGGACAAGCAGAAACAGGGGGCCAGAAUUCACAGGUGUUCUUCAUUGAGUGUGUGAGUGCCGCUGUCGUCACCAUGAACACCUGCUCGGAGGCACCAAGACCCGUCAAGCCAGUCCGCCCUGCAAGACUGCCUGGUCAAGAUGGGGUCCAGCCUUGCACAGAACUGCUUGGCUGGCCAGUGCCACAAGUUGGUGGUGACAAAGUAAAGCCCUCCAUGACUGCUACAGCCUGAUGGAUGGAUCUCAUGGUAGGGUAUGAUGGGCUGAGAGAGAAGGAUGAUGUAGCAAGGUGUGUGGUGACCCAGGCUGUGGAGGGUGGCUGCCACACUCACUGCUCCAGCCACUCACAGCUGUACCUCAGGAGCCAGACACCAUCUGCUUCACUCCUGCCCAGACUUUGCCACUCACACCCAACAGCUGCUUCAUCUUAAGGCGUAGGAGGACUGGCCGCCUGCAUUGGACCCCCGCAUAACUGGCCCGCGUGCAUCAUCUCCCGACAUCAUUGCAGCCUUUUUGGUCCCCUUGGACGUUUAGGGGCACGUGCAGAAGCAGCAGCCGUUGCUACAGCUGCCGCAGCACUCGUUGUUGGCGUGGCAGAGGUGGUGGUCACUUUACUGGGGUCGGUCUAUGGGACAGAGGUAGGGUGCGUGGGGGAGGUGGUGAUGGUCCGGGGCGACAGUGUAGACAUAAGCCUACUCCUCAAGCCAAAUUAGCAGCGCUACUAAUGUUAGCGCAGUUAUGAUACGCGCGUAAAGUAGCUGUCCCAUAAGGGAUCUAUCGGCCUGUGGUGACGUAGUCCCAUAUGGGCCCUACCGGCCGGGACGGUUAAGUUGAGGGAGGGAAGUGACGGUGGAGGUUGUUUUGAAAUGUAUUGUUUGCUGCAGCACUGGACCACGGAAGGGAAGGUUGUUCAGCGCUGGGAAUGUGUCCUCAAUGAAUCA